GAAUCUGGGAGGACCAUCUCCUAAGGCUAAAUACUCUCUAGUGACCGAUAGUGAACCAGUACCGUGAGGGAAAGGUGAAAAGCACCCCGGAAGGGGAGUGAAAUAGAACCUGAAACCGUGUGCUUACAAGUAGUCAGAGCCCGUUAAUGGGUGAUGGCGUGCCUUUUGUAGAAUGAACCGGCGAGUUACGAUUUGAUGCAAGGUUAAGCAGUAAAUGUGGAGCCGUAGCGAAAGCGAGUCUGAAUAGGGCGUUUAGUAUUUGGUCGUAGACCCGAAACCAGGUGAUCUACCCUUGGUCAGGUUGAAGUUCAGGUAACACUGAAUGGAGGACCGAACCGACUUACGUUGAAAAGUGAGCGGAUGAACUGAGGGUAGCGGAGAAAUUCCAAUCGAACCUGGAGAUAGCUGGUUCUCUCCGAAAUAGCUUUAGGGCUAGCCUCAAGUGAUGAUUAUUGGAGGUAGAGCACUGUUUGGACGAGGGGCCCCUCUCGGGUUACCGAAUUCAGACAAACUCCGAAUGCCAAUUAAUUUAACUUGGGAGUCAGAACAUGGGUGAUAAGGUCCGUGUUCGAAAGGGAAACAGCCCAGACCACCAGCUAAGGUCCCAAAAUAUAUGUUAAGUGGAAAAGGAUGUGGCGUUGCCCAGACAACUAGGAUGUUGGCUUAGAAGCAGCCAUCAUUUAAAGAGUGCGUAAUAGCUCACUAGUCGAGUGACACUGCGCCGAAAAUGUACCGGGGCUAAACAUAUUACCGAAGCUGUGGAUUGUCCUUUGGACAAUGGUAGGAGAGCGUUCUAAGGGCGUUGAAGCAUGAUCGUAAGGACAUGUGGAGCGCUUAGAAGUGAGAAUGCCGGUGUGAGUAGCGAAAGACGGGUGAGAAUCCCGUCCACCGAUUGACUAAGGUUUCCAGAGGAAGGCUCGUCCGCUCUGGGUUAGUCGGGUCCUAAGCUGAGGCCGACAGGCGUAGGCGAUGGAUAACAGGUUGAUAUUCCUGUACCACCUAUA
This 1004-nucleotide ribosomal RNA is filed under the name Staphylococcus aureus. Its description in RNAcentral is "partial 23S ribosomal RNA". It matches the Rfam family "Bacterial large subunit ribosomal RNA", at positions 440 to 1452 of the family's 2925-position model. Lineage: Bacteria; Bacillati; Bacillota; Bacilli; Caryophanales; Staphylococcaceae. The record is from RNAcentral.